Molecule: ribosomal RNA, 634 nt
Filed under: uncultured bacterium
Lineage: Bacteria
Description: bacterial SSU rRNA
Rfam family: Bacterial small subunit ribosomal RNA
Source: RNAcentral
UAGCAGUGAAAUGAGUAGAUAUGCGGAGGAACACCGAUGCAGAAGGCAAUCCCAUGGACCUGUAUCGACGAUCAUGCACGAAAGCGUGGGGAGCAAACAGGAUUAGAUUCGUUGGUAGUCCACGCCGAUAUAAGAUGUCAACUGGUUGUUGGGAGGGUUUCUUCUCAGUAACGUAGCUAACGAGUGAAGUUGACCGCGUGGGGAGUACGCACCGCAAGGUUGAAAAUCAAAGGAAUUGACGGGGACCCACACAAGCGGUGGAUGAUGUGGUUUAAUUCGAUGCAACGCGCAAAACCUUACCUACCCUUGACAUGAUAGGAAUCGUGCAGAGAUGUGGGAGUGCUCGAAAGAGAACCUCGGCACAGGUGUUGCAUGGCUGUCGUCAGCUCGUGUGGUGAGAUGUUGGGUUAAGUCCCGCAACGAGCGCAACCCUUGUCAUUAGUUGAUAUGAAAGGGCACUUUAAUGAGACUGCCGGUGACAAACCGGAGGAAGGUGGGGAUGACGUCAGGUCAUCAUGGCCCUUAUGGGUAGGGCUACACACGUCAUACAAUGGCCGGGACAGAGGGCUGUCAACCCGCGAGGGGGAGCUAAUCCCAGAAACCCGGUCGUAGUCCGGAUCGCAGUCUGCAACUC